RNAcentral lists this long non-coding RNA (667 nucleotides) under Gossypium raimondii (Peruvian cotton). Its description in RNAcentral is "long non-coding RNA (GRAI_LNC003501)". The record is from RNAcentral. Lineage: Eukaryota; Viridiplantae; Streptophyta; Magnoliopsida; Malvales; Malvaceae.
ACAUAUUUGUAAUAAGCCCAAUUUACCCGGGCCUACAUGCAUAAACCAAGUAAAUAAAUAAAUAAAGUCCAGUUUUUUUACAAAGCCCAACAAGCAGCCCAACUACAUCUAAAACCCAAAAUGGCCCAAACAUUAACCCAAACUUAGCCUAAAAAACUACAGCAGAAACCCUAGGCAGAAAAACCACCAGCUGCCGCAACUGCCGCAACUGCCGCCCCUUUUUGCGCGCCUCCGUCGUAGCACCCACCCCGCGCACGUCACGCACGAACCUACAGCAACAAACAGCCAACGACUACAGUAAAAUAACGAAAAAGAGGGGAUUUUCUAUUUUUUAUUUUUUUAUUUUCAUUGUUAUUUUCGGCUAUUUAAAAGCCGAUUAAAAUAUGUAAAUGGGGGGAUUUUUUGAGUGUAAAGGAUAGAGACGAAAAUAGAGGAGAAAUACAGAGAAAAUACAGAUCGAGCUUGUUUUUUUACAAAGGUUUUUACUUUGCAGUGCCCAUUCUUCCUAUUUACAUAUAUAUGUUUUUUUUAUUUUCAUUUUACUUCAUUUAACAUAUAAAGAAAGGGGAAGGACUUACCUUAGUCAUCGGAGUCGUUGAGUCGAUGCCACCUCCGUCGCAAUCGAGGUAGGGGCGUAGGCGGAGGCCAAGGUACGGCCUUGACUGAG